AUUGAACGCUGGCGGCAUGCCUUACACAUGCAAGUCGAACGGUAACGGGCCUUCGGGUGCCGACGAGUGGCGAACGGGUGCGUAAUACAUCGGAACGUGCCCGAUCGUGGGGGAUAACGAGGCGAAAGCUUUGCUAAUACCGCAUACGAUCUACGGAUGAAAGCAGGGGACCGCAAGGCCUUGCGCGGACGGAGCGGCCGAUGGCAGAUUAGGUAGUUGGUGGGAUAAAAGCUUACCAAGCCGACGAUCUGUAGCUGGUCUGAGAGGAUGAUCAGCCACACUGGGACUGAGACACGGCCCAGACUCCUACGGGAGGCAGCAGUGGGGAAUUUUGGACAAUGGGCGCAAGCCUGAUCCAGCCAUGCCGCGUGCAGGAUGAAGGCCCUCGGGUUGUAAACUGCUUUUGUACGGAACGAAAAGCCUUCUUUUAAUACAGGAGGGUCAUGACGGUACCGGAAGAAUAAGCACCGGCUAACUACGUG
RNAcentral lists this ribosomal RNA (482 nucleotides) under uncultured bacterium. Its description in RNAcentral is "partial 16S ribosomal RNA". It matches the Rfam family "Bacterial small subunit ribosomal RNA", at positions 30 to 507 of the family's 1533-position model. The record is from RNAcentral.